GUCUACAGCCACCCUGAACACGCUCAAUCUCAUCUGAUCUCAGAAGCUAAGCAGGGUUGGGCCUGGUUAGUACUUGGAUGGGAGACCACCUAGGAAUACUGGGUGCUAUAGGCU
RNAcentral lists this ribosomal RNA (114 nucleotides) under Pteropus alecto (black flying fox). Lineage: Eukaryota; Metazoa; Chordata; Mammalia; Chiroptera; Pteropodidae. RNAcentral also lists the same sequence under 1 other name. The record is from RNAcentral.